AAUCAACGCUGGCGGCGUGCCUCAGACAUGCAAGUCGAACGCGAAAGUCCCCUUCGGGGGACAAGUAGAGUGGCGCACGGGUGAGUAACACGUAGGUAAUCUACCUUCGGAUGGGGAAUAACAACCGGAAACGGUUGCUAAUACCGCAUAAUGCAGCGGCACCUAAUGGUGACAGUUGUUAAAGCGGGGGAUCGAAAGACCCCGCGUCUGAAGAGGAGCCUGCGGCGGAUUAGCUAGUUGGAAGGUAAUGGCUUACCAAGGCGACGAUCCGUAGCCGGCCUGAGAGGGGCGGUCGGCCACACUGACACUGACAUACGGGUCAGACUCCUACGGGAGGCAGCAGUCGGGAAUUUUGGGCAAUGGGCGAAAGCCUGACCCAGCAACGCCGCGUGAAGGAUGAAAUCCCUCGGGAUGUAAACUUCGCAAGAACGGGAAGAAUAAGUAGGGGACAACACCCCCUAUGAUGACGGUACCGUUUGUAAGCUCCGGCUAACUCCGUGCC
Molecule: ribosomal RNA, 502 nt
Filed under: uncultured bacterium
Lineage: Bacteria
Description: bacterial SSU rRNA
Rfam family: Bacterial small subunit ribosomal RNA
Source: RNAcentral